UAUCAUAUAUAUAUUUUUGAAGUUUGCAUUAUGCUACAUUUAGAGUUGGCCUUCCUAAUACAUUUAGUUAACCUUAUUCAGCAUUGGUUGGUGCAUCUGUAGCCGGUCUUGGUUGGGGAGUAUUUGAAAGGGAUUAGAGUUUACGAUUGGACCAAUAAUGCCACAGUGAUCUUAUUUGAAAUCUAUCUAUUUAUAUAUUAUUUGAGAACUUUUUUUCAAAUUUUAUUGUACACGUGGCACUCUCAGAUGAAUCCUCUUAUAAUAUUGUUUUGGCAUUAAUGUCUCAUAAUCAAAUCUAUAAUCAAAUCAAAAUUACCGGAAAAGCCAGUCUCCGCCACCACCACGAAAAAUUUCCCCAUCUCCUUCUCCCUUUUGUCUCUCACUCUCUCUUCUCCAUGCGACAGAAAGG
This 409-nucleotide long non-coding RNA is filed under the name Trifolium pratense (red clover). RNAcentral's name for it is "long non-coding RNA (TPRA_LNC009258)". The record is from RNAcentral. Lineage: Eukaryota; Viridiplantae; Streptophyta; Magnoliopsida; Fabales; Fabaceae.